GGGGAAUCUUGCGCAAUGGGCGAAAGCCUGACGCAGCGACGCCGCGUGGGUGAUGAAGGCCUUCGGGUUGUAAAGCCCUGUGGAGAGGGACGAAUAAGUUCGACCUAAUACGUCGGGCGAUGACGGUACCUCUUUAGCAAGCACCGGCUAACUCUGUGCCAGCAGCCGCGGUAAGACAGAGGGUGCAAACGUUGUUCGGAAUUACUGGGCGUAAAGCGCGUGUAGGCGGUCGUGCAAGUCGGGUGUGAAAGCCCAGGGCUCAACCCUGGAAGUGCAUUCGAUACUGCAUGGCUAGAGUCCCGGAGAGGAUGGUGGAACUCUCGGUGUAGAGGUGAAAUUCGUAGAUAUCGAGAAGAACACCGGUGGCGAAGGCGGCCAUCUGGACGGUGACUGACGCUGAGACGCGAAAGCGUGGGGAGCAAACA
Molecule: ribosomal RNA, 425 nt
Filed under: uncultured bacterium
Lineage: Bacteria
Description: bacterial SSU rRNA
Rfam family: Bacterial small subunit ribosomal RNA
Source: RNAcentral